CGGAGAGUAGCUCAGCCUGGUAGAGCGCUGCGUUUGGGACGCAGAGGUCGCAGGUUCGAAUCCUGUCUCUCCGA
This 74-nucleotide transfer RNA is filed under the name Planctomycetota bacterium. RNAcentral's name for it is "Planctomycetes bacterium tRNA-Pro". It matches the Rfam family "tRNA". From Rfam's summary of the family: Transfer RNA (tRNA) molecules are approximately 80 nucleotides in length. Their secondary structure includes four short double-helical elements and three loops (D, anti-codon, and T loops). Further hydrogen bonds mediate the characteristic L-shaped molecular structure. tRNAs have two regions of fundamental functional importance: the anti-codon, which is responsible for specific mRNA codon recognition, and the 3' end, to which the tRNAs corresponding amino acid is attached (by aminoacyl-tRNA synthetases). tRNAs cope with the degeneracy of the genetic code in two manners: having more than one tRNA (with a specific anti-codon) for a particular amino acid; and 'wobble' base-pairing, i.e. permitting non-standard base-pairing at the 3rd anti-codon position. Lineage: Bacteria; Pseudomonadati; Planctomycetota. The record is from RNAcentral.